UUUACCUUGGUGUAAAAGGGCACAUAAAUUUUUGAUAUUUAAGGUAAAUUAGGUAAUC
RNAcentral lists this transfer RNA (58 nucleotides) under Gammarus pisinnus. RNAcentral's name for it is "tRNA-Gln". Lineage: Eukaryota; Metazoa; Arthropoda; Malacostraca; Amphipoda; Gammaridae. The record is from RNAcentral.